AUUUUUGCGCAGUGGCAGUAUUGUAGCCAAUGAGGUUUAUCUAAAGCACAAUAUUGCUCUUCUAAAAACAUUAAAAAAGAAG
Molecule: small nuclear RNA, 82 nt
Organism: Ochotona princeps (American pika)
Lineage: Eukaryota; Metazoa; Chordata; Mammalia; Lagomorpha; Ochotonidae
Gene: U4
Rfam family: U4 spliceosomal RNA
About the family: U4 small nuclear RNA (U4 snRNA) is a component of the major U2-dependent spliceosome. The structure of U4 snRNA from yeast and human has been reported.
Source: Ensembl